GUCUUGAAUAUGCUCUCGCCUUCAUGCCUACUUUCUCCAAGCCACUUUCUUUGUGAAAAAGAUAACCAAUGCUGUCUCAUGUUGAAUGAAAUAAAUCACUGUGGAAGCCUGCCGAUAAGCUCUGUAGCAUGGUGUGAGAGAUGGAAAGAAAAGGAGCUGUGAUGGCUUGGUGGAAGUGGUUUUACUUCAAGAACUAUUUGGUGAGAUUUUUAAAGAACCUGGAAGAUGUCCUCCUGAAUUCCUCUCUGAAGCUCAGAAAAGAACAAGAUGCUGAAGACCUUAGUGCUAUGACAUUGGCUUAGUAUGUGAAAAGAAAACUUGCCCAAGAAAUCAGGCAGAACUGAGUCAGUCUUGAAGGUUUGUAGCAACGUUUCAGAAGAAGAACAACCUAUGACAAGGGAAUAAUUUCUGCUGGAAGCCCUGGAGAAAAAGAUAUGAGAAACAAGCCUAAGUGAUAACUGAGUCCCCAGGAGGAUGGAGAUGCCAGGAAUGUAUAGUGUCCACCAAUGCUGAUGAGAUGGUUCAGCAGGUGAAGUAUCCUACCACCAAGCCAGAUGACACAAGUUCAAACUCCUGGGCAUACCAGAUAGAGGUAGAAAAUCACUCCAGCAAAUGGACCUCUGAUGACCACACAGUUUCUCAGUCUGAUUGACAUUGGUUCAGAAUUUAAAAGGAAUAACAACUUCAUUAGACAAUAUCUAAACAAAAAAUAAGAAAAAUGAGAAAGCUUUUGUGGAUUAACACAGCAUCCAGCAAGAACCUCCAUCAAGACUCAAACG
Myodes glareolus (Bank vole) is the source of this 779-nucleotide non-coding RNA. The record is from RefSeq and is a predicted model, not a curated record. Lineage: Eukaryota; Metazoa; Chordata; Mammalia; Rodentia; Cricetidae.